Molecule: long non-coding RNA, 1003 nt
Filed under: Ananas comosus (pineapple)
Lineage: Eukaryota; Viridiplantae; Streptophyta; Magnoliopsida; Poales; Bromeliaceae
Description: long non-coding RNA (ACOM_LNC039088)
Source: RNAcentral
CGGGAACCCGAAUUCGCACAAUUAUUCGGCGACAAUUGUGUAGGGGUGUUAUCUUGUGUUUACUACCAAAACAUCCAAAUUGGAGUGUUUUGGGGCAGCAGGUGACUCGUGACACGAGUCGGUGAGUUUCGGGACACUUAGUGGGUCCCGACGGCGUCCCGGUGUGGUUUUCGGGACUUCCGGCCAGUUACGGUAAUCGGUAUUGGGAAACCGAUCUCCGUGGGAUUUUUUGUGGGUUAUGCUUUUAGGGUUUCUUAGUUGUGGGUUAGACACUAACCCAGUGGACCCCCCUUAGGUCCGGUUGACGUUCUUUUGCAGUCAGGAGACAGACGCGACAGUUGUGCAGGUGGGUACUUCGAUCCGACGUCGGUACAGUGGUGCACGCUUGGUGAUGGUUUCUUACCCUUACUCUUCUGUUGUUACUAUGGCAUAGUAUAUUGAGCCUUGCACCCUUGUUUAUUCGUUAUACACUACUCGUUGUUUGCAUGCUUAGUAUCCCGAGUAGGAGUAGAGCAGUUCUAUCUAUAUGCGUAUCUGUUGACUUAAUUGGUUGGUUGUUGCAUUCUGUAUCUGUUGACCUGGUUGGUCGGUUCUGGUACUUCGUUUCGGUGACCUGAUUGGUCGGUUCUCGUACAUCGUUCGAUGACCCUUGAGGUCGGUAUACCCUAAGGGGUGGGAUUGUCGGUUAGCACCGACGGAUGAUUAUAGUUUACUCAGUUCCACUGUUUGGUAUGUUUGUGACCUAGUCAGUCAGCUUCACGAGUCCCUGUCGUUUGAUGACCUUUGAGGUCGGUGUACCCUGAGGGGUAGGAUUGUCGGCCAUGGCCGACGGUAGUUCUAGAUUAUAUACUCAGAUGACUUGUUGAUCGAUUCUUGCAUAUAUACAGUAGUUGACCUAUUGAUCAGUAUCUACAUACUUUUGGUAGGAUGUUGAGUUGUUCCAUCCCAGUUGACUUGAUUAGUCAGUACUUGCAUACAGUUGAGAGGAUGUAGAGUCGUUCCA